AUCCAGACGACGAGUUGAAAAUAAGACGAAACACACGUCCUGAAU
Molecule: non-coding RNA, 45 nt
Filed under: Schistosoma bovis
Lineage: Eukaryota; Metazoa; Platyhelminthes; Trematoda; Strigeidida; Schistosomatidae
Also listed under: 1 other name
Source: RNAcentral